This 141-nucleotide non-coding RNA is filed under the name Sinomonas sp. Its description in RNAcentral is "FMN sequence". It matches the Rfam family "FMN riboswitch aptamer (RFN element)". Rfam says of the family: The RFN element is a highly conserved domain that is found frequently in the 5'-untranslated regions of prokaryotic mRNAs that encode for flavin mononucleotide (FMN) biosynthesis and transport proteins. This element is a metabolite-dependent riboswitch that directly binds FMN in the absence of proteins. The record is from RNAcentral. Lineage: Bacteria; Bacillati; Actinomycetota; Actinomycetes; Micrococcales; Micrococcaceae. RNAcentral also lists the same sequence under 1 other name.
AACGUGCUCCGGGGUCGGUGAAAGUCCGAACCGGCGGUGACAGUCCGCGACCCGGCGGCCCAGCUCAUCCGAGCAGGGACGUCGGUUGAGCCGGUGGAAUUCCGGCACCGACAGUUAGAGUCUGGAUGGGAGAAGCACGUG